GGGGAAAAAUUAAUAAAAUUUAUAAAUAAUAAAAAAAUUUUUAAAAAUAUUUAUGGGGUUAAAGUAUUUUUAAAGAAAAAAUUAAAAAAUUUAUAGUAAAAUAGUAUUGUGGAAGAAAUUUGAAAUAGAUGAUGAAAAUAAAAUUAAUUUAAAGUAAAUUUAGUUUAUUGUAUCUUGUGUAUCAGAGUUUAUAAAUAAAGAUAUUUAAGUAAAAUUUUCUCGAAUUUUGAAGAGUUAAUUAAUUAAAAAAGUUAAUGUUAAAUAAUUAUUUUUAAUAAUUAAUUGGAAAUGAAAUGUUAAUCGUUUUAAAAUAUAUCUAGUUUUUUUAGAAAUAAAUUUAAUUUAAAAUAAAAAUUUUUAAUUUUUUUUAUUUUUAAAAAAUUAAAAAUUUUUAUUUAAUAUUUUAAGGGAUAAGCUUUAAAAUAAAAUUUUAUAAUAAUUAUUUAAUAAAAUUAAAAUUUUAGAAUUUAAUUAUUUAAUAAAAUUAAAAUUUUAGAAUUUAUAUUGUUAGUAAAUUAUAAUUUUUUAUAAAUAAUUUAAUUAGAAAAAAAAUUUAAGAGUAAAAAUUUAAUUUUUUAUAAAAAAGUAAUUUUUAAUUUUUUAAAAUUAGCUAUAAUGAUAAAAUUAGUAUAUAAUUUUUUAACAAUAAUUAUAAUUAUGAAAAAAAAUUAUAAUAAGGAAUUUGGCAAAAAUUUAUAUUCACUUGUUUAUCAAAAACAUGUCUUUUUGAAAAUAAUUUAAAGUCUAAUCUGCCCACUGAUAAAAAUAUUAAAGGGCUGCAGUAUUUUAACUGUACAAAGGUAGCAUAAUCAUUUGUCUCUUAAUUGGUGACUUGUAUGAAAGAUUGGAUGAAAUAUAAACUGUCUCAUUAUAAUUAAGUAAAAUUUAAUUUUUUAGUAAAAAAGCUAAAAUAAUUUUAAAAGACGAGAAGACCCUAUAGAGUUUUAUAAUUUUGUUAAGUUUAUUAAAAUAUAAAUUUUUAAAAUAAAAUUAAUUUAAUUAUUUUGUUGGGGUGACAAAAAAAUUAAAUUAACUUUUUUUUAAAAAAAUUACAUUAAUAAAUGAAUAAAUGAUCCAUUAUUAAUGAUUAUAAGAAAAAUUACCUUAGGGAUAACAGCGUAAUUUUUUUUUUUAGGUCAAAUAAGAAAAAAAGUUUGCGACCUCGAUGUUGGAUUAAGAUAAAAUUAAAAUGCAAAAGUUUUAAAUUUUUGAUCUGUUCGAUCAUUAAAAUCUUACAUGAUCUGAGUUCAAACCGGUGUAAGCCAGGUUGGUUUCUAUCUUUAGGAAAUUAAAAUAUUUUAGUACGAAAGGAUUAAAUAUUUAAAAUAAUUUUAAUAGAAUGAAUAUUAUUAAUAAAUUUAAAAUGUAUAUAAUUUAAUAACUAUUUUGGCAGAAAAAAUGUAAU
Molecule: ribosomal RNA, 1405 nt
Filed under: Euryades corethrus
Lineage: Eukaryota; Metazoa; Arthropoda; Insecta; Lepidoptera; Papilionidae
Description: 16S ribosomal RNA
Rfam family: Eukaryotic large subunit ribosomal RNA (bases 1110-1269)
Source: RNAcentral